RNAcentral lists this ribosomal RNA (492 nucleotides) under uncultured bacterium. RNAcentral's name for it is "partial 16S ribosomal RNA". It matches the Rfam family "Bacterial small subunit ribosomal RNA", at positions 28 to 507 of the family's 1533-position model. The record is from RNAcentral.
AUUGAACGCUGGCGGCAUGCUUUACACAUGCAAGUCGAACGGUAACAGGCCUUCGGGUGCUGAUGCGUGGCGAACGGGUGAGUAAUGCACAGGAACAUGCCCAGAGGUGGGGGAUAACGCAGCGAAAGCUGUGUUAAUAUCGCACGUGAUCUGAGGUUGAACGCGGGGGACCAGGCAGCAAUGUUUGGCCUCGCGCCUUUGGAGCGGCCGAUGUGCGAUUAGGUGGUUGGUGGGGUAAUGGCCUACCAAGCCGACGAUCUGUAGCUGGUCGGAGAGGACGGCCGGCGACACGGGAGCGGAGACGCGGCCCAGGCGCCUGCGGGAGGCAGCAGUGGGGAAUGGUAGGCAGUAGGGGCGAGCCUGGUCCAGCAAGGCGGCGUGCGAUAAAAAGACCCUCGGUUUGGGAACCCGGUUUGUACGGAACGAAAAGGCUCUGGCUAAGACCUGGGGCGGAUGACGGUACCGUAAGAAGAAGCACCGGCUAACUACGUG